UUAUUUAAAAAUUAAAAAGGAAUUUGGUCAAAAUCCAAAACUGACGCGCAGCGGUGGUAGGUACGGUUUGUACAUAUGACACUGAUCUUUUAUUGGGAAGUCGUACAAAUUGGUUAGAUCCUUAAGUCCGAAGACUUGCCUUGAAUGCA
This 149-nucleotide non-coding RNA is filed under the name bovine gut metagenome. The record is from RNAcentral. RNAcentral also lists the same sequence under 1 other name.